GAUGAACGCUGACAGAAUGCUUAACACAUGCAAGUCUUUGGCGAAUCUGUGCUUGCACAGGCUAGCCAAGGCGGACGGGUGAGUAACGCGUAAAGAACUUGCCCUGCAGACAGGGAUAACAGAAGGAAACGACUGAUAACACAAGAUACAGUUGUCGGCACGCAUGUGCCUGGCAAUGAAAAGAGAUGCUGCAGGAGAGAUUUGCGUCCUAUUAGCUUGUUGGUGAGGUGACGGCUCACCAAGGCGAUGAUAGGUGGCCGGCCUGAGAGGGUGAACGGCCACAAGGGGACUGAGAUGCAGCCCUUGCGCCUACGGGAGGCAGCAGUAGAGAAUAAUGGACAAUGGGGGCGACCCUGAUCCAGCAAUUCUGUGUGCACAAAGAAGGUUUUCGGAUAGAAAAGUUCUUUCAGCAGGUAAGAAGAAAGUGACGGUACCUGCAGAAGAAGCGACGGCUAAAUACGUG
Molecule: ribosomal RNA, 463 nt
Filed under: uncultured bacterium
Lineage: Bacteria
Description: partial 16S ribosomal RNA
Rfam family: Bacterial small subunit ribosomal RNA
Source: RNAcentral